This 522-nucleotide ribosomal RNA is filed under the name uncultured Neisseriaceae bacterium. RNAcentral describes it as "partial 16S ribosomal RNA". The record is from RNAcentral. Lineage: Bacteria; Pseudomonadati; Pseudomonadota; Betaproteobacteria; Neisseriales; Neisseriaceae.
CACGUAGUUAGCCGGUGCUUAUUCUUUAGGUACCGUCAGUAUCAGCCAUUAUUCACAGCUGACUUUUCUUCCCUAACAAAAGUACUUUACAACCCUAAGGCCUUCUUCAUACACGCGGCAUGGCUGGGUCAGGGUUGCCCCCAUUGUCCAAAAUUCCCCACCGCUGCCUCCCGUAGGAGUCUGGGCCGUGUCUCAGUCCCAGUGUGGCGGAUCAUCCUCUCAGACCCGCUACAGAUCUUCGCCUUGGUGAGCCUUUACCUCACCAACUAGCUAAUCCGACAUCGGCCGCUCAAAAAGCGCUAGGCCUAUUCCUAGGUCCCCAGCUUUCUUCCUCAGAAUUUAUGCGGUAUUAGCCACCCUUUCGGGUGGUUACUCCCCUCUUCUCGACACGUUCCGAUGUAUUACUCACCCGUUCGCCACUCGCCGCACGAGAAGCAAGCUCCUCCCCGCUCGCCGUUCGACUUGCAUGUAGUAAAGCAUCGCCGCCAGCGUUACAAUCUGACGCCAGGAUACAAACUUCCG